Molecule: ribosomal RNA, 718 nt
Filed under: Bacillus sp. ZD06
Lineage: Bacteria; Bacillati; Bacillota; Bacilli; Caryophanales; Bacillaceae
Description: bacterial SSU rRNA
Rfam family: Bacterial small subunit ribosomal RNA
Source: RNAcentral
GAUUAAGAGCUUGCUCUUAUGAAGUUAGCGGCGGACGGGUGAGUAACACGUGGGUAACCUGCCCAUAAGACUGGGAUAACUCCGGGAAACCGGGGCUAAUACCGGAUAACAUUUUGAACUGCAUGGUUCGAAAUUGAAAGGCGGCUUCGGCUGUCACUUAUGGAUGGACCCGCGUCGCAUUAGCUAGUUGGUGAGGUAACGGCUCACCAAGGCAACGAUGCGUAGCCGACCUGAGAGGGUGAUCGGCCACACUGGGACUGAGACACGGCCCAGACUCCUACGGGAGGCAGCAGUAGGGAAUCUUCCGCAAUGGACGAAAGUCUGACGGAGCAACGCCGCGUGAGUGAUGAAGGCUUUCGGGUCGUAAAACUCUGUUGUUAGGGAAGAACAAGUGCUAGUUGAAUAAGCUGGCACCUUGACGGUACCUAACCAGAAAGCCACGGCUAACUACGUGCCAGCAGCCGCGGUAAUACGUAGGUGGCAAGCGUUAUCCGGAAUUAUUGGGCGUAAAGCGCGCGCAGGUGGUUUCUUAAGUCUGAUGUGAAAGCCCACGGCUCAACCGUGGAGGGUCAUUGGAAACUGGGAGACUUGAGUGCAGAAGAGGAAAGUGGAAUUCCAUGUGUAGCGGUGAAAUGCGUAGAGAUAUGGAGGAACACCAGUGGCGAAGGCGACUUUCUGGUCUGUAACUGACACUGAGGCGCGAAAGCGUGGGGAGCAA